RNAcentral lists this transfer RNA (76 nucleotides) under Burkholderia anthina. RNAcentral describes it as "tRNA-Pro". It matches the Rfam family "tRNA". Rfam says of the family: Transfer RNA (tRNA) molecules are approximately 80 nucleotides in length. The record is from RNAcentral. Lineage: Bacteria; Pseudomonadati; Pseudomonadota; Betaproteobacteria; Burkholderiales; Burkholderiaceae.
CUGAGCGUAGUUCAGUUGGGAGAAUGCCUGAUUUGGGAUCAGGUGGUCGCAGGUUCGAGCCCUGCCGCUCAGACCA